RNAcentral lists this ribosomal RNA (435 nucleotides) under uncultured bacterium. RNAcentral describes it as "partial 16S ribosomal RNA". It matches the Rfam family "Bacterial small subunit ribosomal RNA", at positions 29 to 507 of the family's 1533-position model. The record is from RNAcentral.
AGCGAACGCUGGCGGCAGGCUUAACACAUGCAAGUCGAGCGGGCAUAGCAAUAUGUCAGCGGCAGACGGGUGAGUAACGCGUGGGAACGUACCUUUUGGUUCGGAACAACUGAGGGAAACUUCAGCUAAUACCGGAUAAGCCCUUACGGGGAAAGAUUUAUCGCCGAAAGAUCGGCCCGCGUCUGAUUAGCUAGUUGGUGAGGUAAUGGCUCACCAAGGCGACGAUCAGUAGCUGGUCUGAGAGGAUGAUCAGCCACAUUGGGACUGAGACACGGCCCAAACUCCUACGGGAGGCAGCAGUGGGGAAUAUUGGACAAUGGGCGCAAGCCUGAUCCAGCCAUGCCACGUGAGUGAUGAAGGCCCUAGGGUUGUAAAGCUCUUUUGUGCGGGAAGAUAAUGACGGUACCGCAAGAAUAAGCCCCGGCUAACUUCGUG